Molecule: ribosomal RNA, 1371 nt
Filed under: uncultured bacterium
Lineage: Bacteria
Description: bacterial SSU rRNA
Rfam family: Bacterial small subunit ribosomal RNA
Source: RNAcentral
AGGCCUAACACAUGCAAGUCGUACGAGAAAGUGGGCUUCGGCCGAUGAGUAAAGUGGCGCACGGGUGAGUAAUGCGUGGAUAAUCUGCCCUUUAGUUGGGAAUAACGUACCGAAAGGUGCGCUAAUACCUGAUAAUACUGCAUAACUACUGUUGUGUAGUCAAAGAAGGCCUCUGUUUACAAGCUUUUGCUGAAGGAUGAGUCCGCGUACCAUUAGCUGGUUGGUGGGGUAAUGGCCUACCAAGGCUACGAUGGUUAGCUGGUCUGAGAGGAUGAUCAGCCACACUGGAACUGAGACACGGUCCAGACUCCUACGGGAGGCAGCAGUUAGGAAUAUUGCGCAAUGGGGGCAACCCUGACGCAGCAACGCCGCGUGAGUGAGGAAGGUUUUCGGACCGUAAAGCUCUGUCGAGCGGGAAGAAAUGUAUCAUGGCUAAUAUCCAUGAUACUUGACGGUACCGCUAAAGGAAGCACCGGCUAACUCCGUGCCAGCAGCCGCGGUAAUACGGAGGAUGCAAGCGUUAUCCGGAUUCACUGGGUUUAAAGGGUGCGCAGGCGGACAUUUAAGUCAGGGGUGAAAUCUACAGCUUAACUGUAGAACUGUCCUUGAUACUGAAUGCCUAGAGUAAAGUUGAAGUGGGCGGAAUGUGUUGUGUAGCGGUGAAAUGCUUAGAUAUAACACAGGACACCAAUCGCGAAGGCAGCUCACUAAACUUUAACUGACGCUCAUGCACGAAAGCGUGGGGAGCAACAGGAUUAGAUACCCUGGUAGUCCACGCCGUAAACGAUGAUCACUCGCUGUUGGCGAUAUAUUGUCAGUGGCUAAGCAAAAGUGAUAAGUGAUCCACCUGGGGAGUACGACCGCAAGGUUGAACUCAGAGGAAUUGACGGGGGCCCGCACAAGCGGAGGAGCAUGUGGUUUAAUUCGAUGAUACGCGAGGAACCUUACCAGGGCUCGAACGCAGGAGGAAUACACCCGAAAGGAUGUAGCCAGCAAUGGCCGCCUGCGAGGUGCUGCAUGGUUGUCGUCAGCUCGUGCCGUGAGGUGUCAGGUUAAGUCCUAUAACGAGCGCAACCCCUAUUCAUAGUUGCCAGCAUAUUACGAUGGGGACUCUAUGAAAACUGCCUGCGCAAGCAGUGAGGAAGGUGGGGAUGACGUCAAAUCAGCACGGCCCUUAUGUCCUGGGCUACACACGUGCUACAAUGGCCGGUACAAAAGGCCGCAACUACGCAAGUAGAAGCUAAUCCCUAAAACCGGUCUCAGUUCGGAUUGGAGUCUGCAACCCGACUCCAUGAAGCCGGAUUCGCUAGUAAUCGCACAUCAGCCAUGGCGCGGUGAAUACGUUCCCGGGCCUUGUACACACCGCCCGUC